RNAcentral lists this ribosomal RNA (266 nucleotides) under uncultured archaeon. RNAcentral's name for it is "partial 16S ribosomal RNA". It matches the Rfam family "Archaeal small subunit ribosomal RNA", at positions 714 to 982 of the family's 1478-position model. The record is from RNAcentral.
AGACGUCUACAUUAGAUACCCCCUGUAGUCCUAGCCGUAAACGAUACUCGCUAGGUGUCGGCCACGGUGCGACCGUUGUCGGUGCCGUAGGGAAGCCGUGAAGCGAGCCACCUGGGAAGUACGGCCGCAAGGCUGAAACUUAAAGGAAUUGGCGGGGGAGCACCACAACGGGUGGAGCUUGCGGUUUAAUCGGACUCAACGCCGGGAAUCUCACCGGAUAAGACAGCUGAAUGAUAGUCGGGAUGAAGACUCUACUUGACUAGCUG